This 600-nucleotide long non-coding RNA is filed under the name Callithrix jacchus (white-tufted-ear marmoset). RNAcentral's name for it is "lncRNA (ENSCJAG00000061418.2)". Lineage: Eukaryota; Metazoa; Chordata; Mammalia; Primates; Cebidae. The record is from RNAcentral.
AUGACACUGCUUUACUUGGAGGAUGCAUUCAGAUUCAUUUUCUGUGUGGCACUAUUCAUUUUGGAAUUCUUAUUUGAUUCCAUAUACACUGACCCCAUCCUUAUACUGCAAGGCACUGUUAAAAUAGCCUGCAUACUCAAUAAAUGGCUUCUGUACAACAGCUUAUUAGAAAAAAAACACCCUGAUUCAACAAACACAAAAUUACAUCUUCAUAAAUGCAAUCAGAAGAAAACAACAGAGGAAACAGAGAAGAAUCACAGGAACUGUACAUGCUGCUCGUUGAAGGUAUUCAGUUGUCCUCCUACUCUUCUGCCGUUAGAUGACACAACGAGAAGGCCUCACCAUAUGCUAGCACCAUGCUCUUGGACUUAUCAGCCUCUAGAACUACCCUGUUUUGUGAUGCUGAAAUUAGAAAUCUGCAAAACACAUUUCUGCCCUGCUACUUGGCUCAAUAAUUUGCUCUUCCAAAAAGAUGCUCUAGAGAAAGACUACAAUCCUGGAGGAAGAAGAGGCACCUGCUCGUUCCUGUUUUUGUGGCAUCCUGUGAGCUCCUUAUCUGCUUGUAACUCUCAGUCACUGCAGCAGUGUUUCUUUACCUAA